CUUUCACAUACAAUGACAGAAGUAAAAAUAUUUAUUUUAUCUUAAAAAUCUGGUCCCGCAAAAAGGCCAACACUUUUUUCAGUUCACGGUCUUGACCUUUCAAAGAAGAAAUCUUUCAACUGAGAGCCAUUCACAGUUCCUGAAGGAGAAAAGAAGUUGUUUGCAGAUAAGGCACUUUAGAAACCACCAAAGAGAAAACCCAAGUCUGCCAGGAGCUGCACUGUGAACAUGUGAGCCGAGAGG
Molecule: long non-coding RNA, 243 nt
Filed under: Homo sapiens (human)
Lineage: Eukaryota; Metazoa; Chordata; Mammalia; Primates; Hominidae
Description: HSALNT0002241
Source: RNAcentral